Molecule: ribosomal RNA, 433 nt
Filed under: uncultured bacterium
Lineage: Bacteria
Description: partial 16S ribosomal RNA
Rfam family: Bacterial small subunit ribosomal RNA
Source: RNAcentral
AACGAACGCUGGCGGCAGGCUUAACACAUGCGAGUCGAGCGAGACCUUCGGGUCUAGCGGCGGACGGGUGAGUAACGCGUGGGAACGUGCCCUUCUCUACGGAAUAGCCCCGGGAAACUGGGAGUAAUACCGUAUACGCCCUUUGGGGGAAAGAUUUAUCGGAGAAGGAUCGGCCCGCGUUGGAUUAGGUAGUUGGUGGGGUAAUGGCCCACCAAGCCGACGAUGCAUAGCUGGUUUGAGAGGAUGAUCAGCCACACUGGGACUGAGACACGGCCCAGACUCCUACGGGAGGCAGCAGUGGGGAAUCUUAGACAAUGGGGGCAACCCUGAUCUAGCCAUGCCGCGUGAGUGAUGAAGGCCUUAGGGUUGUAAAGCUCUUUCAGCUGGGAAGAUAAUGACGGUACCAGCAGAAGAAGCCCCGGCUAACUCCGUG